AUAUUUUACAGAUAUUUUUUUGAGUGCACGCUAUACAGCACGGUUAAGGAAAAUGAUGGAGAACGUAGCAAGAAAAUCGUGCGGCGUGGAAAGUGCCUGACUCCCCCCUUUCCCAAUUCAAGCAUAUCCCCACCCAGAGCAGUGCGUAAUCCGUUCGACUUAAUAAGCCACGUUCCUGCUGGAGUAUUUGAUCUGGAUUUGGAAUCGGGAGGUGUUAAGUGGCUCCCCACCUGAAUGCCGCACCGAAGCCACCAGACGAACGUCUCACUCGACUAUGCAAAUAUUGACAGGGAACGCAUUCGUAUGCUUAAUUUGACUCAAUUUAUUGUUGUUUGCUUUACUUUUUCCCAGCCGAGUCCUUAAUUUCCGCCUUGUAUUCUUUUUCUAACUGACUAAUAAAUCACAAAAUCGGACAGCCAGUGACGAAGAAAGGGGACGAGCUGGGCGCCUAAUUGCCGUGGUAUUGAUUUUUAUACUCUCCUGACCUAUGUGUGAACUUUGGAAGGGAGAUGGCGCCAAAGAAUAUGAUACACAAAAAACGAUAGCCUUAACUGGGAUUGAUGACAUGCUUAAUUAUUGCAUCAUUUAAAAAAGACUCGUAAUGUUCAACAAAAUGGUACUAAAUACAAUUUUCAAUGUCAGAUAUUGAAAUGUAUCUCAGAU
Drosophila melanogaster (fruit fly) is the source of this 663-nucleotide non-coding RNA. The record is from Ensembl. Lineage: Eukaryota; Metazoa; Arthropoda; Insecta; Diptera; Drosophilidae.